UCCUACCCCGAAUUCAGUUUUGUUGCCACGUCUUUGUAUUUACAGGAGCAGAUGCAGAUCUUUUCUAUCUACCACGUGACAGAUGCUGAAAUGUCAUGAUUUGCCUCACCUUAUCCACUGCUAAGAAGCUCCACUUAGGAAACCAUUCCUCGGGAUCCAAGCUUCAAGAUAGUUCGCUACAUCGAAUGGCCUCUUUGUGAUGGAGUAAGGCCAUCACUGACAUCUGCUCGGCACAAGGCCUUAACCAUACAGCCAUCAUCACCUGAAGAUGCUAACACCGUUCCUGUUAUAUUCCAACUCACUCGCCAAACCUGAGAAUUAUGAUUAUCAAACUGAGCCACUAUAUGGAUUUCAAAUUUUGUUGGCCCACCAGAGGAAAAACACUACAGGCCAGAAGGAAAUGGCAUGAAGAAGUCAAAGUAAUGAAAAGCAAAAAUGUGGAACCAAAACUCCUCUAGCCACCAAGGCUAUCAUUCAAAUUGAAGACACCUGACGGAUUAUACAACUAUCAGCAUGAAAGGGAUGGAAGACAUUAAAAAACCGAGGUUUGACUAUACAAUCAAGUCUUGUUAUUCAAGG
Long non-coding RNA from Molossus molossus (Pallas's mastiff bat), 579 nucleotides. RefSeq lists it as uncharacterized. The transcript is spliced from 5 exons. The record is from RefSeq and is a predicted model, not a curated record. Lineage: Eukaryota; Metazoa; Chordata; Mammalia; Chiroptera; Molossidae.